RNAcentral lists this non-coding RNA (101 nucleotides) under Truepera radiovictrix. RNAcentral describes it as "TPP sequence". It matches the Rfam family "TPP riboswitch aptamer (THI element)". From Rfam's summary of the family: Vitamin B(1) in its active form thiamin pyrophosphate (TPP) is an essential coenzyme that is synthesised by coupling of pyrimidine and thiazole moieties in bacteria. The previously detected thiamin-regulatory element, thi box was extended, resulting in a new, highly conserved RNA secondary structure, the THI element, which is widely distributed in eubacteria and also occurs in some archaea. Analysis of operon structures identified a large number of new candidate thiamin-regulated genes, mostly transporters, in various prokaryotic organisms. The record is from RNAcentral. Lineage: Bacteria; Thermotogati; Deinococcota; Deinococci; Trueperales; Trueperaceae. RNAcentral also lists the same sequence under 1 other name.
ACCCCUCACCAGGGGUGCCGCAAGGCUGAGAGAGCGGGUGCGCUCAACCCUCGAACCUGAACCGGGUCAUACCGGCGUAGGGAGCGUGACCGGCGGCCGCC